This 301-nucleotide ribosomal RNA is filed under the name uncultured bacterium. RNAcentral describes it as "partial 16S ribosomal RNA". It matches the Rfam family "Bacterial small subunit ribosomal RNA", at positions 509 to 809 of the family's 1533-position model. The record is from RNAcentral.
CAGCCGCCGCGGGAAUACGUAGGGUGCAAGCGUUAAUCGGAAUUACUGGGCGUAAAGCGUGCGCAGGCGGUUGUGUAAGUCUGAUGUGAAAGCCCCGGGCUCAACCUGGGAACUGCAUUGGAGACUGCACGGCUAGAGUGCGUCAGAGGGGGGUAGAAUUCCGCGUGUAGCAGUGAAAUGCGUAGAGAUGCGGAGGAAUACCGAUGGCGAAGGCAGCCCCCUGGGAUGACACUGACGCUCAUGCACGAAAGCGUGGGGAGCAAACAGGAUUAGAUACCCCCGUAGUCCCUGUCUCUUAUAA